Molecule: long non-coding RNA, 690 nt
Filed under: Sarcophilus harrisii (Tasmanian devil)
Lineage: Eukaryota; Metazoa; Chordata; Mammalia; Dasyuromorphia; Dasyuridae
Description: lncRNA (ENSSHAG00000026257.1)
Source: RNAcentral
AGCAAAAUGAGAAACAGUUAACACCUCAGUAGCUAACAAACACUGGGUGGCAAGAAGAAGGUGUUAUACCUCAGACCCCAUGCUGAGUGGCCUACCUUUGACGAUCCUCACCUUUACUCCUCCUCUCCCCCACAACUAAAGGUGGAGAGGAGAAUGAUCAAGGAAGACUUCAUGGAAGAGAUGGCAACCGAGCUAAAUCUUGAGAGAAAAGAAGGAUUUUCACAGAAGGAGAUGUGGGAAGAGGGUAUGUUCUGGCAUGUAAUAGGAAGAAGCAGGAGAGAGCAAGACAAAAUUGUGGAGAAACAAAAAUCUUACUUUUGCUGAAAUGAAGGCAAGUAGAAUCAAAUCAAAUUGGAAAGGAGGGGAUAAUGCAUAGUGAAAUAUCCCCAAAAUGAGCAGCUGUAAGAGGAGGAUAAGCAAAUGACCUGAAUCGACCACAAAAUGGAUAAUCAGACAGCUUCUAAACAUCAAGCACCGCCUGUGUCUUUCUCCUCCAAUAAAGCAAUCGAUGGGAAUAUGAAGACUGAUUCAAACUGCCUCUUUUUUUUUGUCCCUGAACCAACUGGCUCACCCUGACCACAUUCUUUCAUCCUGGAUAUAGUAGAAUUGUAAAUUUCUAUAAUCAUGAAGUUUCCUUUUAAAAUAAAGUGCUAUUUCUUAAGUGCAAAUCUGACCAUGUGAUUCCUUUGU